RNAcentral lists this ribosomal RNA (496 nucleotides) under uncultured bacterium. Its description in RNAcentral is "partial 16S ribosomal RNA". It matches the Rfam family "Bacterial small subunit ribosomal RNA", at positions 29 to 507 of the family's 1533-position model. The record is from RNAcentral.
AUGAACGCUGGCGGCGUGCCUCAUACAUGCAAGUCGAGCGAACAGACGAGGAGCUUGCUCCUCUGACGUUAGCGGCGGACGGGUGAGUAACACGUGGGUAUCCUACCUAUAAGACUGGGAUAACUUCGGGAAACCGGAGCUAAUACCGGAUAAUAUAUUGAACCGCAUGGUUCAAUAGUGAAAGACGGUUUUGCUGUCACUUAUAGAUGGAUCCGCGCCGCAUUAGCUAGUUGGUAAGGUAACGGCUUACCAAGGCAACGAUGCGUAGCCGACCUGAGAGGGUGAUCGGCCACACUGGAACUGAGACACGGUCCAGACUCCUACGGGAGGCAGCAGUAGGGAAUCUUCCGCAAUGGGCGAAAGCCUGACGGAGCAACGCCGCGUGAGUGAUGAAGGUCUUCGGAUCGUAAAACUCUGUUAUUAGGGAAGAACAAAUGUGUAAGUAACUAUGCACGUCUUGACGGUACCUAAUCAGAAAGCCACGGCUAACUACGUG